UACGGAGGGUGCAAGCGUUAUCCGGAUUCACUGGGUUUAAAGGGUGCGUAGGUGGGUAUGUAAGUCAGUGGUGAAAUCCCCGAGCUUAACUUGGGAACUGCCAUUGAUACUAUAUAUCUUGAAUGCCGUAGAGGUAAGCGGAAUAUGUCAUGUAGCGGUGAAAUGCUUAGAUAUGACAUGGAACACCAAUUGCGAAGGCAGCUUACUAUGCGGUGAUUGACACUGAGGCACGAAAGCGUGGGUAGCAAAC
This 250-nucleotide ribosomal RNA is filed under the name uncultured bacterium. RNAcentral describes it as "partial 16S ribosomal RNA". It matches the Rfam family "Bacterial small subunit ribosomal RNA", at positions 524 to 773 of the family's 1533-position model. The record is from RNAcentral.